CUACACUUAAAAAGAUACGUAGGGAGUAAGAGUGUCAUUUUCAGGAUUCACAACCUUGCCGUCCGGCAGUCGUUGUUGCUGGUGUCUUCACCUGGUCAGUGACCUGCGGAUGAGGGCAAGUGAUUGGUGCGGUGACAGGACAUCGACAGCAUUUGCUGCUAGGACGAGACCUGAAUCGCUCGGUUAUUGGAUCCAUCAGGAUUAUAUACAAUGGAGU
Molecule: long non-coding RNA, 217 nt
Filed under: Sorghum bicolor (sorghum)
Lineage: Eukaryota; Viridiplantae; Streptophyta; Magnoliopsida; Poales; Poaceae
Description: long non-coding RNA (SBIC_LNC005595)
Source: RNAcentral